RNAcentral lists this long non-coding RNA (213 nucleotides) under Capsicum annuum. Its description in RNAcentral is "long non-coding RNA (CANN_LNC008453)". Lineage: Eukaryota; Viridiplantae; Streptophyta; Magnoliopsida; Solanales; Solanaceae. The record is from RNAcentral.
UCCUGCUUUACUCUGUUUUAUAUUCCUUAUGGGUGCCGUAUCUAUGUUAUGUCAUCUGCUUCUGUGCUGUACUAUGUGUUUGUGUGGUAUCUCGUGACUUGAGCCGGGGGUCUUUCGGAAACAGCCUUUCUACUUCAUCAGAGGUAGAGGUAUGGACUGCGUACAUCUUACCCCCCCAGACCCCACUAAGUGGAAAUACACUGGGUUUGUUGU